This is a long non-coding RNA of Callithrix jacchus (white-tufted-ear marmoset), 688 nucleotides long. RefSeq lists it as uncharacterized. NCBI's taxonomy places the organism in Eukaryota, Metazoa, Chordata, Mammalia, Primates, Cebidae. The record is from RefSeq and is a predicted model, not a curated record.
CUUCAUUUUUCCCACUGAGGUUUGGAGAUUGUCUCAUGGGGACCGGUCCCCAGGCUGCCUUUACGAAUUGCUCUAAUUACGCAUGGAGAUUUUCCCACAGGCGCUUUUAAUAACUUCAGGGAUGGUCCCUCUCUCACUUCCCAAGACACCAGAAGGGUGUGUCCGCAUCACCUGUUGUUGAGGGGCCUGCACUUCCAAGGACAGAAAGUUGACUUUAAAGUAUAGUCAUCGCAUGACUGCAGCAGGCUUCUUGAGUUGUUGCUUCUACAACCAGCUGUGUAGCCUCCAGAGUCCUUUCUCUGUAAGGGAGGAUGUGGACUGCGAGACCAUUGGCACCUGCAACACCGAACACCCAGAGGGCAAGCUCAUGGCUUGUAGACUGAAUUCUGCCAGGGUACCUGUUUUGUUGUAAUUUUUUAAAUUGCUGGGUGCGAUGGCUCACGCCUGUGAUCCCAGCACUUUGGGAGGCCAAAGCAGGCGGAUCAUGAGGUCAGGAGAUCUAGACCAUCUUGGCUAACACGGUGAAACCCCAUCUCUACUAAAAAUACAAAACAUCAGCUGGGUGUGAUGAGCCUCUAGUCUCAGCUGCUCAGGAGGCUGAAGCAGGAGAAUCACUUGAACCCAGGAGGCUGAGGUUGCAGUGCGCCGAGAUCGCACCACUGCACUCCAGCGUGGGCAACAGGGCGAG